Molecule: unclassified non-coding RNA, 239 nt
Filed under: Hevea brasiliensis (rubber tree)
Lineage: Eukaryota; Viridiplantae; Streptophyta; Magnoliopsida; Malpighiales; Euphorbiaceae
Source: RNAcentral
AAACGUUCAACCGAGUUUAUCGUUAAUGAAUGUAAACAGCAUGUAAUGCUAGUGGCCACAUCGGAGUUACUUAUGUGGAAGACUGGAAUAUCCGAAUCUGAACUCUCAGGUGUUUCAGAAAUAGUAAAAAAGAAAGAAAAAAAAGAGAAAAGAAAAAACUCUAUAAUGCUAAAGAGGGAACUGGGAAAAAACCAACAGCAAUUCCUCGUUGAUUUCAGUUUCUAUUGCACUUCUAACAA